CCCAAGAGACAGAGAGAGAGAAAAUGGUGAGCCCAGGAAUUUAGAUUCAAGCCUACAUUCAUUCAAACCAACACAGUUCACCUAGGAGAAUGCAUUGCAACCAUUAUUUCAUGUCUUUUAUAUUUGAAAAAAUUUUAUGCAACUUUCACAGUUCCCACAUGGCAGGUUAAACUCUGGCAUAACCCUAGUAUGUUUCUAUAAAGUAUAUAUAUAGAACAAAAAGCAUCUCUAAUGACUGAAUUCACAGAAUUAUAAAAUAUAAGGCAAAGGGAAAGUCAUCAGCAUCUAAG
This 290-nucleotide long non-coding RNA is filed under the name Bos taurus (domestic cattle). RNAcentral describes it as "long non-coding RNA NONBTAT019335". Lineage: Eukaryota; Metazoa; Chordata; Mammalia; Artiodactyla; Bovidae. The record is from RNAcentral.